UUGACUUUGACACAGUACAGAAAGCGAUUUGCUGGUCUUAUAAUCUUAUAAGCCAUUAUAACUUAUAAUGAAAAUCAUUUGACCAUUCUCCAAAUUGCCAUACCUGUGACUGUUACAGUCUAAGAAAUCAAUUAUGAUUAUGAAUAAGUUGAAAAAGGAGCUCAGAACUGAAUGUUCUGAAUUAUCAGUUGAGAGCACCACUUGUGCAGACUGGCUGGUAGAGAAAUUACUUUGGUGUUAUAUUCCAGGUUGGACUUACAAGAUUAAUGACCAAAUUCAACUGCAUGCUUCUGCAAGACAUAACAGUUGACAUUCAACUAUGAUAAAAGAAAAGUGUCGAUUUUUACUAAGGAAUGUAAGAAAUAUAAAUAGACCUGGAUGGGAAUCCAAUAGAACAACUCAAUAAUUUUGAAUACCUGGGAGUUGCUUUUCAUUUUCUGCCCUGGCCACUUCAGGUCCAAAAUCAGGCUCACUGACUAUUCUACCUGUACUAUUGAGAUUCUACAGUACAAAAGGAGGACAGCAUAUAUCUUCAGGUUUGAAGUUUUGGUGUACAAAACCAAACUAGCUACCAAAAUUAGUUGUGGAGUUCAUCUCUGGAUAUUGGGGAUUAAUUAAUCCUUUGAGAAAGCUCUUUUGUGUACUAAUUAAUUAAUUACUUAAUUAAUCCUUUCAGAACGCUCUUUUGUAUACUAAGAUGUAGUCUUGCAACCUGAAGCAGGCAUUUGCUCUUUGGAAACAGUGUGGUCCCUGGUAAUCAGCUACUGGCUUUACUUAUAUUUAUUCUCCACAGAUCUGAGCUGUCUAUCCCUGUUUUUGCCUGAUAAUUAUGCUUCUCUUGACUAAAAUAUGUCAAUAACAAAGUUAGCAUCAUUGGCUGUCCACUACCUCAUGUUCUGCCACGCGGGUUACAAAACAACAACUGGCUGCAUUAAACUGAGAGCUCUAAAUCUCAUUUUACAAAAUUCAUUACCUCUGGCAAAAAAGCUUUGCUCACCCCCGUAUCUUUGUCUAUAGCUUGGUAGUGCUUAUCAGUUCACUAGCUAAUUUAGACCAUUAAAUAUUCCUAAAUACUAGAUAGCAUUUUCAAUGGCCACAUUCAAUGCUUUGCCAUGCACAGUUAUGGAAGGUCAAUUCAGCAGGCUGCCUUAGCAUUUCAGAGUUUGUCCUUACAAAAGUGGCUGAGUUGAAAUGUUAGGUCAUGCUCUCCUAUAUUGACUUUUUUAGGAAUAAAAGAUCCCAGUUUGUUUCCCACUUUCUUUGCACUUGGGAAACUCAGAUGAAAUAUAUGUUUCAAUUUAAUGGCACACUCUAAUCUAAAGAUACUGAAAAUAUAGCCAAGAUCCUCACCUUAGCCCUCAAAACUAGGCAAGAACUGUUAAAGGGAAGUCAUAGCCCACCAUUAUUAAGUGGGGGCCCUUUUUAUGUGCUGUUGCAAGGCAGUGCUGGAUCUCCACCCUUGACGCUUCCCUCACACUCCAGCAUCCAGCAUUGGUGUACUCCACCUCAGACUUCCCCUGCCCAGAAUGCACAUUGGUCACAAUAUGACCCUGAGUCAACACUGUCUCUAUUUUUUUCUUAUUUUUAACUUCUUUUGAUUCAUAGAUUUUGUUAUACUCUCAUUUUAAAAGGCACAAUUGUGAGCCUGCAUGUUGUGUGUUUUUCUCCCUCUCCUGUGGCUGUCAUGAUAAACCUAUACUGUAUCUGAUGUUUAUGGUCUGUAGAACAAAUGAAUGAAACUGAACUGAAAUGUUCUGAUCUGCACAUUACUUCAGGAAAGAUCUGUCAGGUCACUUUGUACCAAAAGUCACAAACACUGAAUUCCUU
Long non-coding RNA from Rhineura floridana, 1827 nucleotides. RefSeq lists it as uncharacterized. The record is from RefSeq and is a predicted model, not a curated record. Lineage: Eukaryota; Metazoa; Chordata; Lepidosauria; Squamata; Rhineuridae. The transcript has 3 exons.